RNAcentral lists this unclassified non-coding RNA (243 nucleotides) under Glomus sp. RNAcentral describes it as "partial contains 5.8S ribosomal RNA and internal transcribed spacer 2". The stretch from base 1 to 65 matches the Rfam family "5.8S ribosomal RNA", at positions 84 to 154 of the family's 154-position model. The record is from RNAcentral. Lineage: Eukaryota; Fungi; Glomeromycota; Glomeromycetes; Glomerales; Glomeraceae.
GUGAAUCAUCGAAUUUUUGAACGCAAAUUGCACUCUCCUCGGAGAGUAUGCCUGUUUGAGGGUCAGCCUAUAAAAAUCGACAUCGUUGCUGUUUCGCGGUGGCGUUCGUCGGGAAGUGGGUCAUCUUAAAUCCUUUUGAUUGAGCGACUUUAAAUUUUCUUUUUGUUCCAUUAAUGUUUCUUAGAUCUUUUUUUUUACACGUUUAAGGUAUUGGUUUUUACUUUACGUGAUCAUCAAUUCCGA